This 75-nucleotide transfer RNA is filed under the name Streptomyces phage LilMartin. RNAcentral describes it as "tRNA-Leu". It matches the Rfam family "tRNA". From Rfam's summary of the family: Transfer RNA (tRNA) molecules are approximately 80 nucleotides in length. Their secondary structure includes four short double-helical elements and three loops (D, anti-codon, and T loops). Further hydrogen bonds mediate the characteristic L-shaped molecular structure. tRNAs have two regions of fundamental functional importance: the anti-codon, which is responsible for specific mRNA codon recognition, and the 3' end, to which the tRNAs corresponding amino acid is attached (by aminoacyl-tRNA synthetases). tRNAs cope with the degeneracy of the genetic code in two manners: having more than one tRNA (with a specific anti-codon) for a particular amino acid; and 'wobble' base-pairing, i.e. permitting non-standard base-pairing at the 3rd anti-codon position. Lineage: Duplodnaviria; Heunggongvirae; Uroviricota; Caudoviricetes; Stanwilliamsviridae. The record is from RNAcentral. RNAcentral also lists the same sequence under 3 other names.
GGCCCUGUAGCAGAAUGGCAUAUGCUGCUCCCUCAAAAGGAGUGUACUUGCGGGUUCGAAUCCCGUCUGGGCUAC